Molecule: ribosomal RNA, 371 nt
Filed under: Alternanthera bettzickiana
Lineage: Eukaryota; Viridiplantae; Streptophyta; Magnoliopsida; Caryophyllales; Amaranthaceae
Description: eukaryotic LSU rRNA
Rfam family: 5.8S ribosomal RNA (bases 1-105)
Source: RNAcentral
AUAUGCGAUACUUGGUGUGAAUUGCAGAAUCCCGUGAACCAUCGAGUUUUUGAACGCAAGUUGCGCCCGAAGCCCUCGGGCCAGGGCACGUCUGCCUGGGCGUCACGCAUAGCGUCUCCCCAUUUCCCCAGCCAAGGGAAUGAGGAGGAAGAUGGCCUCCCGUGCCUCACUGGGCGUGGAUGGCUUAAAUAAGGAGCCCUCGGCAACUUGAUUCCGCGGCGAUUGGUGGCACAAUGGGCAUCUGCCCGCGAAGCAUCGCGCCGCGCAACAAGCUGCAUUACUGGGCAUCGUCGGACCCUAAACAACCUUUGCGACCCCAGGUCAGGCGGGAUUACCCGCUGAUUUUAAGCAUAUCAAUAGGCGAAAGAAUC